This 72-nucleotide transfer RNA is filed under the name Camelus bactrianus (Bactrian camel). It matches the Rfam family "tRNA". Rfam says of the family: Transfer RNA (tRNA) molecules are approximately 80 nucleotides in length. RNAcentral also lists the same sequence under 2 other names. The record is from Rfam by way of RNAcentral. Lineage: Eukaryota; Metazoa; Chordata; Mammalia; Artiodactyla; Camelidae.
GUGGCUAUAGCUCAGGAGUAGAGCGUGUGCUUAGUAUGCACGAGGGCCUGGGUUCAAUACCCCGUACCUCCU